This is a long non-coding RNA of Paramacrobiotus metropolitanus, 866 nucleotides long. RefSeq lists it as uncharacterized. Lineage: Eukaryota; Metazoa; Tardigrada; Eutardigrada; Parachela; Macrobiotidae. The record is from RefSeq and is a predicted model, not a curated record. The transcript is spliced from 3 exons.
CUCUAAAUGCAUUACUAUUUGUUUUCGUGACAAACUCCAUUAUACGCAUAACAUAGUUAUGUAGUAUUUCUUCUAAUUCUCCAUUUCCUCUCUGAUGUUUUUGUGUCUUGCAAACGGUUAAGCAUUACAUAAAACGUGAUGAAACAAAAUGCAAAAUACGGCUGAAUAAUACAAUACGCCGGUGUAAACAACGCGGUGUUUGGAUGGUAUUCUACGAGUACGUUCGUUUUGUCUGCCUAUCAAUUUCCACAGCUAAUGUCAGAUCAGCUGAUCCAUUCUUCGGGACGAAGAAUCUAAGCGGAGGGUAAUGUUACGAUCGUGGAGGUUUACGAUCAUGGACACUGGACAGCGUGGAUUGCAUGGCUGUAUGUAUCUUUAUGGUGAUAUUGAAGCAAGUGAUAUAAAAUAGAAGCAAAUGAUAUUUAUUUCUUUGCCGCAUUAUUCGGCUGUGCCAUCCGGAUCGGCAACGGAGUCCUCCAGUUCCGGUACACAGCCGACCGGCGCGGGACAGCGGCGCUUCUUUCCGUCCACGCCGGACAUUGCGCUGAACUACAAUGGAAUCAUCAAUAAACCAAGGGAAUCAACAUUGAUUUACCAGAAUCAGUGUAUUAAUCAGAUAUUUUCGACAAAUAUCAUGAGCAUCAUGAUGGCGUACCGUAGCGAGCACUGCAACCAACAGCACCAUCCAAAGGAGCCUCACUGUUUGCAUGGUUUCUUUCUUUUUAAGUUAAGGAAUAUACAGGCAAAGAAAUCUCUUAUGCGCAGAACAUUUAUUUGCGGUAAACGGUUUGUGAAACGCUGAUAUACAUAAACGAGCGUUUUAUAUACAAACUACAAAGCACAGACUAUGUUAGCAUAGGUAAAUG